ACUUUGUCACUGUUAGGAAUCAUAAUGUUAACAUCGGAUAAGCAUGACACCAGAUAUCCGACCCCUGUGGGAGGGGUUGCGUCCCAAGGGUGAGAACCACCGCUCCACGCCAUCACAGAAUCAAGCUCUAACUGCCAAUAGAUCUCCAGAACAAGCAACCCUUCAGGUAGUCAAUCUCCCUCAUCAACAAGCACUAAGUGGACAAACCCCACAGCACCCAGAGUGUGGCUGCUGCCCUGGGAGAAGCAACAGAGUGAGUGGAUCAGACGACUGACAGACAGACCGUCCACUUAGGGAUCGUGGAGAGCAUGCUCAUGGGAAACCGUGGCCUCACCUACCUAACCAGGAUGAAGAGGAGGGAGGUACAGGACAGACCUGGGAGAAGAGGCAUGAGAGAUGAUCAGAGGAAGUGAGCCUACUGUGAAGCGACUAUAGAUGGACACACCAGUGCUGACAAGCCUGUUGGAUGACAAGUUCCAUGAGGACACAGAGCAGACCUUCUGGCUGGUGGCAUCUCUCUAUAUAUAUGUUCUGCUCAGUGGUCCUGAGCAAGUAUUUUGGAAUAAGACUAACUGCUGAAUACUUACUCAAGUGUGAGUAAUGGGGGUGAGGUAUUUGUUUGAGACAGGGUCUCAUUCUCGUGUAGCUGGGGCUGGCCUCAAACUCCCAACCCUCCGGCGGCCACCAUCUCUCAUGUCAUGAGCUCUCAUUCGUGAGCCAACACACCCAGCUACGGGAUUAAGAAAUUUUAGAUGAAUCUGUGCAGAUGUUUCUGACUCUCUUACUUUUAUCCAGGCUGAGUUCUUCCAAGGGAGGAGUCCCACAGGAACGUCUCUGCACUUGAAAAGGGAUUAGGAAAGAUGGGAAGUACCUCCCUGAGAUCCCCAGGACCAGGGAGCCAUCCAGGUUCCCAUCACAUAAACAUGACACAUCGUAGCAGCAUCCAGUGAAUAACGCCUUACUAACAGAACCGAGCUGAGUUUCUAGGUAGUGAUGGAAGGAAAACACACCAUCACCGUGUAACCGACGAGGACAAAUUUGACAAGAAGGCUCAGGCCCAUUUUCACCUUCAUGCGGUACCCGAGAGUGGAGCCAUCCCACUCUAACUCUCAACAAAGCAAAUGGGCUAUAGAGGAAAGAGAAUGUGCAAUGCAACACUAUAAACCACUGUGUGUGAUGAUAGCCCUGGGAUCGAGCAUUUCAAGGCAGGUGGGUCUUAUGUGUUUGGGAGCAGCCUGGUUUACAUGAGCUCCAAGCCAGUCAAACCUGCAUAGUAAAUAAAACCCACAGUGAAAAAACAAAACAAAACAAACAAAAAACAAUUAGAGAUGCAUCAUGUUAAAAAAGAAAAACAUAACAUGAAAUGUUUAAAACAGAAGAUGCAGGAAACUAAAAUAAAAAACAAGGUUACAGCCUUUUUUCUUGGUGUUGACUAUGUGCCAGCAUGAGUUUACAGGCAGAGGCCAGAGGAGGACAGUGUCUUCCUCCACAGCUCUCUCUCUGCCUUAUUGUCUUGAGACAGUCUCUCACUGCAUCUGAAGCUCAGUGUUCUGGUGGACUGGCUGACUAGGAAACUCCCAGGAUCUACCUAUCUCUGACAUGCGCGGCCAUACAUGGCUAUGCCCCGGGUUUUACACAGGUGUUUAAGAUUCUAACUCAGGUCUUUGUGUUUGCACAUCAAGCACUCUUACACACCGAGCCAUCUCCUCUGCACCUAUAGACUUAAAAAUUGGUCCUUGGCAGAUGUCAUGCAUAAAAUAAAUAACCAACAAGAUUUCAAAAAUGUUUUCUGGAUACUUUAAUGGAAACACUGUCUGUCUAUCGUCAUUCCAUUCAAAUCUUCAUUAUUAACCAAAUAAUUCAGACACUCUAACUUGGUGGUUGUCAAGCACUUUCUGUAAUGGCAGUAAGAAGUUGGGACUCUGGAAGCCGUGAUUUUGUAACAUAAAAGUAGCCACAAAUAAUACAAAAACAAAUGAGCAUUAAUAUGUCCCCAUGAAACGUUUCCCUUUUGUUUGUUUGUUUUGUUUUUUAAGACAGGAUUUCUCUCUGUAGCUUUGGAGUCUGUCCUGGAACUCAUUCUGUAGACCAGACUGGCCUUGAACUCACUGAGAUCCACGUGCCUCUGCCUCCUAAAUGCUGGGAUUAAAGAUGUGAGUGACCACCACCCAGCUCUUAUGAAACUCUUUAAUCCAAGCCCUCGGGAACCAGGUGGAUCUCAGUAAGUCUGAGGCCAGCCGGGUCUACAGAGUUCCAAGACUGACACACAGAGUAACCCUGUCUCAAAAGGGGGUGUGGACGGGGGGAGGGAAGGAGAGAGAGAGAGAGAGAGAGAGAGAGAGAGAGAGAGAGAGACUAUUAAGAAGGAAAAAACAAAACUACGGGCUAUUUUGAACGAUAGAUCAUAGUUUGCUACCCCUGCUCUAUCUGAUGGAAUUUAUCCGAAUGGUCAUGAAUGUUUACCACAAGCUGAGUGUCAUUUAGAACACAAAGAAUCCGAAAAAUCUAAAAUAAACAUACAAACAGGGUGCAGUGGGUCACACCUGUCCUCCCAGCCACUUGAAACAGUGAAAGUGGAGAAGCAUUUGCAUUCUGCGGUUUGGAAUGCUCCAGGACAAAUGAUAAAGACUUGGUCUCAAAAUGAAAGGAAGGAGAGAAGGAAGAAAGGCCAUAAACUCAAGAAUAAAGCGGCCAUGGUGAAACAUGCCUUAUUCUCAGCACUUGGGAAGCAGUGAGUUCAAGGUCAGCCUGCUCUAUAUGGUGAAUUCCAGGCCAGGAGGAGCCACAAUGAAACCUUGACUCAAGCAGUGGGGGAGUUUAAAAUACAAACACUGAGUUUUCAGAGGGUCUGUAAUACCAGCACUGAGAAUAUAGAAGUAAAUCUGAUUGGGGGCAACCUGGUCUACACAGUGAAUCCCAGGUCAGUCGAGGCUAUUUCAAUCCCUUUUCUAAAACAAUAGCAGGAGCUAACAAGUGACAAAGUCCUAAGGACCCAGUUCCAUACACAACCAAUUCCCUCAAGUUGCACCGUGGCAUGUUCACACCUACAGACAGAGGGGAGGAGGCUCCAACAAACAAGAAAAAAGUCAGCCUUGCUCUGAAGGUCAGAUCGCCUCAAGUGAAAAAUCCUGUUGGGUUUACUGCCCACUGUGUGAUCACACCGUUCCAUUCAUGGAUCUCCAGAAAGAACAGCAGGAUCCUCCAGCAGAAUUCUUCCUCACACUCGGCUACCUCUCAAGAAUGGCACGGAAUUGAAAAUGCAAGUUCCCAACCAGCCACUGGAGGAGACUGUGCAGCCACAGGGAAGCAAGGAUCUACACACAGAGCAAGAGAAUCUAGCAUCUACACAGAAAAUGUGCUUGGGCAUCCCCCAAAGACCCCCUCAGCAUAAGGACCUCAGGGAACAGGUGGCUGAUUGAUAAGCUACUUGUUUCUGCAGAGCCCAGGAACCCUGGACUGCCUGGGGCCAAGUAGAGACCCUUCUUGGGAAAUCACAGAGAUGGCCCCAGCCAUUCAUUCCCUUUGGGCCUGGAGGCCAACCUCUCUGUUCUUGCUUUGAUCCCAGGGCAGCACCUCCCAACCCUUCCUCCCCUUCCUUCUCUCUCUCUCUCUCUCUCAGUGGUGGCCAGCACACAAACCCCGAAGGGUGGAGUGCUGGCCUCACCCUCCCCUCCAAGUCCCCAAGCCAUUGUGUCUGAAGUGGCUAAAGAAUUCUCCUUCAGGAAUGAGCUCAGAGCAGUGGCUAAUUCCAAAGGACCCUUCACAGGCUUCAACAAAAGCCUCUGAGAAGAAAGCUAGGCUGGAGAAAAGUCGGGAAUGUUGGUUCGUCCAAUUUCUGGAACCAGGCAGGCUUUGCCAUUUAGGAGUCUUCGCUACAGAUGUUUAAGAGACAAUUUUGGUCAGGUGUGGUGACUGAUACCUAGAAUCCCAGCACUCUGGAAGCUGAGGCACAAGGAUGGUUACAAACUUGAGGCCAACCUGAAUAUCUAAAAAAAUUAAAACAACAA
This is a non-coding RNA of Cricetulus griseus (Chinese hamster), 4007 nucleotides long. The record is from RefSeq and is a predicted model, not a curated record. NCBI's taxonomy places the organism in Eukaryota, Metazoa, Chordata, Mammalia, Rodentia, Cricetidae.